RNAcentral lists this ribosomal RNA (203 nucleotides) under uncultured bacterium. RNAcentral describes it as "partial 16S ribosomal RNA". It matches the Rfam family "Bacterial small subunit ribosomal RNA", at positions 524 to 726 of the family's 1533-position model. The record is from RNAcentral.
UACAGAGGUGGCAAGCGUUGUUCGGAAUUACUGGGCGUAAAGGGCGCGUAGGCGGCCUUGUAAGUCCCGUGUGAAAUCCCUCGGCUCAACUGAGGAACUGCACGGGAAACUGCUUGGCUUGAGUUCGGGAGAGGGAAGCGGAAUUCCGGGUGUAGCGGUGAAAUGCGUAGAUAUCCGGAGGAACACCGGUGGCGAAGGCGGCU